This is a long non-coding RNA of Zonotrichia albicollis (white-throated sparrow), 2837 nucleotides long. RefSeq lists it as uncharacterized. The record is from RefSeq and is a predicted model, not a curated record. Lineage: Eukaryota; Metazoa; Chordata; Aves; Passeriformes; Passerellidae.
UUGCUCAAGCAAUUUUAGAGGAAUAGCUCUAAAAUAAGUGGCUUUCCCAGGAUCAAAGGCAGAGCCAUUUUGCUGAAGGUGACAAUGGAGUGAGCCAUGCAAGAGGACAAUUCUGGGCACCAACAAUCCGAUUGCUGAUCCUUCAAGUGUGCAUGUGCAGCUGGCUUUUGCUUUCCUAGCUGAUCCUGCUGAAAUUAGUGAAAAGCAGUGCUGGGUUAACAGUUGGACUCAAAAUCUUUGAGGUCUUUUCCAACCUUAAGGAUUAUGUGAAUCUUUUGAGCUGAGGAGAGCGCUAGGAUCUGUUUUAAUCCGCACUGGCCAAUGCAGCCCUGGCUGGUGAGGAAUGUGACACCAGUGAUCCAGGUGUCACAAGGAACUCCUGAUGCUGCCUCUCCCUCCCUUCCCAAGCCUGUGGCAGCACCUUUCCUGGGAUGUGAGGGGAUUUAUUUUGGAGGCAGAGAGGAGAGGAAAACCGACUUGUCAGGAAAUUUGGCUGGACUUGUUUGAGUGAGGCUGACUGGAAAACAGCUGUGUGUGCACGGAGCAGAGACUGCACCCCUGCACUGCCAGGGUGGGAUGGCAGGAAAGCCCUUUUGCUUUUUCUCUGGGGUUUUUUGGUGUUUUUUGUUUGUUUGUUUGUUUUUAAGAAACAGAAAUACAAGACCUGAUUGGCAGCCUGGGAGGAGAAACCUGAGGUGCCUGAGGGCCUGGACUCAUGGGAGCAUCCCAAAACACUUGUCAGUCCCUGGAGGUGUCUGUUACCCCAACAAGUGCCAGUCCUCAUGGAGCUGAUUCAGAACAAAGCUGCAGAGCAGGUGUUGGAAGGGUCAGGUGAGUAGGGCAGAAGUGGCCUGCACUUAAAAUCCCUCCCCCUUUUUUAUGAAUGUAUAAAUAAAAUGAUGUAAACCCAAACUGCCCGGCCACGCCAAGACCUUUGCUUGGCAAAGCCUUUGCCUUACUUUUGAUGUUAGAUGAACAUCUAGUAAGCUUAAUUAAAGUUUAAUUAGUGUAAGUAGGGUAAAUGUGGUAGGUCAGCAGGCACAGCAGAUGUUAAAAUACUGUUGGCAAUAAUCAACCUGACCAUAAAAAAAAGAGGAAAAAUUCCCUUCUUAAAAAAAUAAAUACCUCUACGUGACUGGUUUAGACAUGUCAUCUCUCAAGGGUGUUGUUUUUUAUUUUACUUUCUUUCCCCAGGCAAUACUGACCAAUCAGUUUCUUCACAUCAGUGAAAAGAGAAAAAAAAUCAGUUUUUGUCCUUUACUGUGCUCUGGAAUUUCGCCCUAAACAUUUUCUGGAGUCUGGGCAUAUGCCACAGGGAGGUCUCUCACUGCUUUCUGAUCUUCUCUUCAGCUGAGAGCCACACAGUGAGGGCUGUGGCUGCACAGCCCAGCUGAGUUUAUUAAGGAUCUGAUAAUGAUUUUUAAGGGCUUUCAGUGAAAUUCAGGAGUGCAUCACCAGUCUGGCUGGCCACUCUUACUUAGGAUGUCCUUGGCAGCUAUGGGUGGUGUUUCCUCAACUUUGAAAGGAAAUUUGGACGUGAUUUGGGUAUUUUGGCAUGCAGGUAUCUGUGUUUAUCUGUGGUGAUCCCUGUUUUUUGUCUGUUGGGUGCUGGUGGGAGCACAACUGGGCCAUCGAGCCCUGCGGAUGAACCUUGACCUGUUCUGGGAUGUGCUCUUGGAUCAGGAACCCCACUCUGGCCACGAGGCUUUGCAUCACUGGAUGUGAUCCCUCUGGAGGUGCUGCCAGACCAUUGAGUGCUCCAUCCCUGCCCUCCAGACACCCUCUUCCUGGAGGAAAGUCGGCAGCUUUGGGUUUAUUCCAUCUUUUCAGCCAUGCCAAAGCCUAUUUAAUACCAGCCCUGAAGCACUGAAGGCUGCAGCCAGACACGAAGCUCAUCCCUGAGGAUGAGGAGGGAGCUUGGAGCAGGCAGUGCAGCAAAGAGAUGCAUCAGCACCUGCUCCCAGCUGCAGGAGAAGGAAGGAGUGCUGGGAGCUCCCUCCCCACAAGUGCAGAGCUCAAGCAUCCCUUUCUUUGGUCAGGAUGUGCCUCCUCCAUGCCAUCUUUGGAGUCCCAGGUGCUGUUGGAGCUCCUCCACGACCUCAGCCCUGCAUCCAUGGGGGACAUGGAGAGGAAACCUCAGCCAGGGCUGGAUGUGCCUGGGCCAUUUCCCUUCUGGAGAAAAGAGAGCCUCCAAAAUCUAUAAAUCAACCAUCUCUGAAAUGGUGUGGGAUUAAGGAAAAGGUGCAGAAUAGAAAUUAUUUCCUCGGGAGAAAGCAGCAGAUAAUUUCAUCUGCCUGGGAAAAUGAUGUCUCCAUCAGUUGUCUUCAGGAGACUCCAAAAAGAGUUAAAGGGGGGCUCAGAGUGUGCAGUUAUUGUGGAAUUUUGGAAUCCCACACUGGUUUAGGUGGCAAGGGACCUCAAAGCCCGUCCCAUUCCACCUGGGUUGCUCCAAGCUCUCUCCAACCUGGCCAGGGAUCCAGGGGCAUCAAUGACCAAGUUGGCUUCUCUGGGGUGGAAAAAAGGUCCCAGCUCUGCACUGCCAUGAAGGGAUCUUUUAUUUAUCAACAGAGCCACGGGAUGUGAAUUUCUCCAACGCCUUCACUGAGCUGUCACACAGAAACUGAGCUGCUAUUAAGCAGCUUUGGGCUGCAGCCAGUUCAUUAGAGCAAACUUUCAUCCAAUUAUCAUUACUCUUAUUAUUAUUUUUAUUAUGAUGCCUCCUGCUCUGUUGUAAAUUGGAGAGUUUUCCUGGGGUUCUUGUUGGACUUUUUUGAGUUGUCUCAAAACUGGAUGGCAAAUUUCCUUCCUUCCUUCCUUCCUUCCUUCCUUCCUUCCUU